This 502-nucleotide RNase P RNA is filed under the name Calditrichota bacterium. Its description in RNAcentral is "Calditrichaeota bacterium RNase P RNA component class A". It matches the Rfam family "Bacterial RNase P class A". From Rfam's summary of the family: Ribonuclease P (RNase P) is a ubiquitous endoribonuclease, found in archaea, bacteria and eukarya as well as chloroplasts and mitochondria. Its best characterised activity is the generation of mature 5'-ends of tRNAs by cleaving the 5'-leader elements of precursor-tRNAs. Cellular RNase Ps are ribonucleoproteins. Lineage: Bacteria; Pseudomonadati; Calditrichota. The record is from RNAcentral.
GAGACCGGCCGGAUGGCUGCUCUCCGUUCCGUGUGCCUCCCGGAGGGAACCCUUUCGGGACUGGCAACCUGGAAUGGGGGGAGGAAAGUCCGAACUCCGCAGGAUACGGCGCCUCCUAACGGGAGGGGGCCUCGGCAGCGUCCCUCCGGGGAAACGGGUCGGGGUCACGGAAAGUGCCACAGAAACAAGACGGCCCCAUCCGCGCUGGCGGGUGGAGCAAAGGUGAAACGGUGGUGUAAGAGACCACCAGUCCCCGGCGCGAGCCGGGGAGCUGGCAAACCCCGCCGGGAGCAAGACCGAGCAGCUCCGUUCCCCGUCCGUCAGUCCCGCCUUUGGCGGGGUCAGCUGACUGACAGAGGACCGGUGAUCCGCCGGUAUCCCGAAGUAUCGGGAUGCGGAGCGGGUAGGUCGCUAGAUCCCGGUUGUGAAACCGGGACCAGAUGAAUAGCCAUCAUCCCGAUACUUCGGGAUACAGAAUUCGGCUUACAGGCCGGGCUCCAAC